This 253-nucleotide ribosomal RNA is filed under the name uncultured bacterium. RNAcentral's name for it is "partial 16S ribosomal RNA". It matches the Rfam family "Bacterial small subunit ribosomal RNA", at positions 524 to 776 of the family's 1533-position model. The record is from RNAcentral.
GACGUAGGGUGCCAGCGUUGUUCGGAAUUACUGGGCGUAAAGGGUUCGUAGGCGGUGCGGCAAGUUGGGAGUGAAAUCUCUGGGCUUAACCCAGAGGCUGCUUCCAAAACUGCUGUGCUUGAGUGUGGGAGAGGCGCGUGGAAUUGCAGGUGUAGCGGUGAAAUGCGUAGAUAUCUGCAGGAACACCCGUGGCGAAAGCGGCGCGCUGGACCACUACUGACGCUGAGGAACGAAAGCUAGGGGAGCAAACAGG